GAUGAACGCUGGCGGCGUGCCUCAAACAUGCAAGUCGAGCGAGGCUACGAAUUACCGCAAGGUAAGGCAUAGCCUAGCGGCGAACGGGUGAGUAACACGUGGGUAACCUACCUGGAAGACAGGGAUAACGAUUCGAAAGGGUCGCUAAUACCUGAUAAUAUCCAUCUGCCGGAUGGCGGAGGGAAGAAAGGGGAAACCCGCUUUCAGAUGGGCCCGCGUCCCAUCAGCUAGUUGGUAAGGUAAAGGCUUACCAAGGCGACGACGGGUAGCCGGUCUGAGAGGAUGUACGGCCACACUGGGACUGAGAUACGGCCCAGACUCCUACGGGAGGCAGCAGUUGGGAAUCUUAGGCAAUGGACGAAAGUCUGACCUAGCGACGCCGCGUGAGGGAAGAAGGGCCUUCGGGUUGUAAACCUCUGUCAUGGGGGAAGAAGUAAGUGACGGUACCCAAGAGGAAGCCCCUGCUAACUAACGUGACCAGCAGCCGACGGUAAAAUAGCGUACU
Molecule: ribosomal RNA, 505 nt
Filed under: uncultured bacterium
Lineage: Bacteria
Description: bacterial SSU rRNA
Rfam family: Bacterial small subunit ribosomal RNA
Source: RNAcentral